AAGUCGUAACAAGGUAACCGUAGGUGAACCUGCGGUUGGAUCAUUACAAAUUUUAUAGGAGAAGGUUCGCUCUGAGGCUGAGCGAGUAUCUGAUACUCGUGUAUGUUCACUUGGCGUUCCUAAUCUGACCACACCUUUGUGAAUCUUUACUCAUUUUAUGGCCACAGAGCACGUUUGACGCGCUGCGGAAACUCGGACUAUUGGCCUCUCUCCUAACGGGGUGAGGACAGAAUGCUGGUGGCCAGUUAAACACUUUUCCAAACCCGUUUUUUGACAUUUGCCUUGAAAAUCAAUCUGAAGCUCGAAAGAGUGCGAAGAUUUAAAAAUGAGAAACAACUUUAGACAACGGAUCUCUUGGCUCUC
RNAcentral lists this unclassified non-coding RNA (363 nucleotides) under fungal sp. Its description in RNAcentral is "partial internal transcribed spacer region". The stretch from base 1 to 46 matches the Rfam family "Eukaryotic small subunit ribosomal RNA", at positions 1786 to 1831 of the family's 1831-position model. The record is from RNAcentral. Lineage: Eukaryota; Fungi.